This 468-nucleotide ribosomal RNA is filed under the name uncultured bacterium. Its description in RNAcentral is "partial 16S ribosomal RNA". It matches the Rfam family "Bacterial small subunit ribosomal RNA", at positions 28 to 507 of the family's 1533-position model. The record is from RNAcentral.
GACGAACGCUGGCGGCGUGCUUAACACAUGCAAGUCGAACGGAAAGGCCCUGCUUUUGUGGGGUGCUCGAGUGGCGAACGGGUGAGUAACACGUGAGUAACCUGCCCUUGACUUUGGGAUAACUUCAGGAAACUGGGGCUAAUACCGGAUAGGAGCUCCUGCUGCAUGGUGGGGGUUGGAAAGUUUCGGCGGUUGGGGAUGGACUCGCGGCUUAUCAGCUUGUUGGUGGGGUAGUGGCUUACCAAGGCUUUGACGGGUAGCCGGCCUGAGAGGGUGACCGGCCACAUUGGGACUGAGAUACCGCCCAGACUCCUACGGGGGGCAGCAGUGGGGAAUAUUGCACAAUGGGCGGAAGCCUGAUGCAGCAACGCCGCGUGCGGGAUGACGGCCUUCGGGUUGUAAACCGCUUUCGCCUGUGACGAAGCGUGAGUGACGGUAAUGGGUAAAGAAGCACCGGCUAACUACGUG